RNAcentral lists this unclassified non-coding RNA (215 nucleotides) under uncultured Clavariaceae. RNAcentral's name for it is "sequence contains ITS2". The record is from RNAcentral. Lineage: Eukaryota; Fungi; Basidiomycota; Agaricomycetes; Agaricales; Clavariaceae.
AAUUCUCAACUUCAAAGAGUUUAUCUCUUUUUUGAAGCUUGGACUAUGGAGGCUUGCCGGCAAAAUAUAGUCAGCUCCUCUCAAAUGUAUUAGCAGAGCCUUUAUAAAGGACUAGCUCCAGUUUGAUAAUUCUAUCUAUGCUGUUGCUUGUUAACCUUUCUGCGUUCAGCUUCUAAUGGUCUUUUAGACUGUCUCUAUGAGGCAUACACCUUUAA